GUCUUUUUGAUAAAUAAUUUAAAGUCUAAUCUGCCCCCUGAAAUUAUUUUAAAGGGCUGCGGUAUUUUAACCGUACAAAGGUAGCAUAAUAAUUAGGUUUUUAAUUGAAAUCUUGAAUGAAUGAUUGGACGAGAUAUGAGCUGUUUUAAAAUAUAAAUUUGAAUUUAAUUUUUUAGUUAAAAAGCUAAAAUAUUUUUAAAAGACGAGAAGACCCUAUAAAUCUUUAUAAUUUAUUUAUUUUAAUUAAUUAUUUUAAUAAAAUUAAUUUAAAUAGAGAAAUUAUUUUAUUGGGGUGAUAUAAAAAUUUUUUAAACUUUUUAUGAUUAUAAUACUAUAAUUAAAGAUUUAUAAAAUAUAUGAUCUAUUAAUAAUAAUUAAAAGAAAAAGAUACUUUAGGGAUAACAGCGUAAUUUUAAUAUUAAGUUCAUAUUAUUAUUAAAGAUUGCGACCUCGAUGUUGGAUUAAAAUUUAAUUUAAAUGCAAAAGUUUAAAAAUUAAGUCUGUUCGACUUUUAAAAUUUU
RNAcentral lists this ribosomal RNA (521 nucleotides) under Nothopsyche ruficollis. Its description in RNAcentral is "partial 16S ribosomal RNA". The record is from RNAcentral. Lineage: Eukaryota; Metazoa; Arthropoda; Insecta; Trichoptera; Limnephilidae.